AUCCUUUUGUAGUUCAUAAGCCUGAUGAUUGGGUUUUCAUGCGCAUGCGUGAGACGCACGGCCCACACAUCUUGUUAUGACGUCUGUACAUUACCGGUCUGACG
Small nucleolar RNA from Nycticebus coucang (slow loris), 104 nucleotides. RefSeq annotates it as small nucleolar RNA U13. The record is from RefSeq and is a predicted model, not a curated record. Lineage: Eukaryota; Metazoa; Chordata; Mammalia; Primates; Lorisidae. The transcript has a single exon.